Oreochromis aureus is the source of this 4644-nucleotide long non-coding RNA. NCBI's taxonomy places the organism in Eukaryota, Metazoa, Chordata, Actinopteri, Cichliformes, Cichlidae. The record is from Ensembl.
CGUUGUUUUGCUUGUUUACAGGUUGCAUCCUGCCAUGUGUAAGAUCGAUGGUGAAUAAAAUGAUUGCUAACACUUUUACCAACUACAUACUGUUGCAGCAGAGUGACAUGGAUGCUAAGGCUAAUGUGUGUGUAUGAAAUGAAGCCUGCACUGAAAAUGUUGACAAGUGGUGUAGAGCUGAAGAUAUAUAUACAGUAUGCCGUAUAGCCUUAAAAAAUGACAAUACAGGGUGGUGAUGUUGGGUUUAUAUUUUAUUAUGGUAAAUGGUAAAUGGCCUGUAUUUAUAUAGCGCUUUUCUGGUCCCUAAGGACCCCAAAGCGCUUUACAUAUCCAGUCAUUCACCCAUUCACGCACACAUUCACACACUGGUGAUGGCAAGCUACGAUGUAGCCACAGCCACCCUGGGGCGCACUGACAGAGGCGAGGCUGCCGGACACUGGCGCCACCGGGCCCUCUGACCACCACCAGUAGGCAACGGGUGAAGUGUCUUGCCCAAGGACACAACGACCGAGACUGUCCAAGCCGGGGCUCGAACCGGUAACCUUCCGAUUACAAGGCGAACUCCCAACUCUUGAGCCACGAUCGCAGUUGACACAUUUGUGUCUGCUCCCUGGUUUGAGACCUGGAUAAGACAGGAACAUCAGCUUACUGGUAAACAAGGUGAUGCUUACUAAUGGCAUUUGUCAUGUCACAUAAAUUUAGCACCGACUAAAGCAGUUAGUCUGCCUAGCUAAAAGAUUUCUUUGUUAACAUGAUACAAAAGACACUAUAAAGAGCAAGAGAAAUGAAACGAACAACAACAACAAAAAUAGUAUGGCCUCUGUUGCUAUAAGUCAUCAUGUCCAUAUAACACACCAGAAACCUUUCCAUAAAAGGAUCAUUUUUAUAUUCUUACUUUCUCAACGACUUGCCUACACACACUUUCCUCUGAUGUUGUACUCUAACUUGGUGACUGUCUGGAAAUGUGUCCCUCGACCUUGCAGCAAUCAUUUGUGUGUAGAUUUACUUUCUUGGUAACAAAGAGUAACUAAACACUUCUAAUUUAUAGGGAGUGGAAGAAAUGGUCUGUCCAUAACACAUUUGUUUGUCACUACGGGCUUAGAAAAAAUAAAUAAAACUCCCUGUGUGGAUUAACAACCACAGUUUGACUAGAAGACUGCUUUAAAGAUGUGCAUUCAUGCACAUGUGUGGCUCUUUCUGUAUCCAAGAUGAGUAUGCACCUGUCAAAUCCUAAAAAUGAACACAAAUUAAAUUUAAAAGUCAGCUUCUUGUGCAGCGCUACACUGCUCUCCACACUCCUGCUACAAAUGGAUCCCUCCCUCAGAGUCCUGUUCUGAUGCAUGCUGGUGAAACGCAGUGGAUUUCCUCCACUGUGUCAGAAACGGUGAUGCUUCAGCUUGAAGUUUUGGGUUUUGAGCAAUGAUGGUGUCUAUGUUGGCCAAAAGAAAGAGUUUUCAGUGCGCUUUCAGCAGGUCCAUGAGAGGGAGUGACACGGUUCAGAUCAAAUGUUCAUGGAACAUCUGACGUCAUUCUUGUAGGUACUUGCCAAUAAGACCAAUAUUUUGUCUCUAGGUUAUAACUGGAAACCCAGCAAUCCUCAGUCCGCUGAAUGUCAGAAUGGGACUUCUGUUCGGGAGCGUAUAAGAGGAAAAGGCAGCAACUUCAAAGUGGAUAACAACCAUAUUUGAAUCAUCUAAGGUUUUGCAUUUUGGCACUGACAUUCUUGCUUGUAUCUUGCACAGGAUACACUGUUUAUGCGUUUUGAUGGCUGGUUAAAACAACUCUGAAUGAUUUUCCAGAAUCUCAAACAAACUAAGUAAAGCUUACUUAAGAUAACUAUGUUAAGACAACUUAUUCAUUGCAAGUAUACAGUACUAAGAAUAACUUGAUGUUUCUGACUUUAUCAUCCUAGAAAUUUCUAGUACAACACUUAUAUUAAUAUAGCACUGUGUGCAAGCAUGAUUUAAGAAUAAUUAACAACACUUCUUGUAAUGGUGUUAAAAUCAGCCCAACUUUUAUUUUCAAAUGCAAAAAGGUAUAUCAGCCAACAUACUGGACACUGUUCUGCUGAACAAUAGACAAUUAUAUUGCCAUCAUUGUUAUAAUCUUACAAUGAAACAAAGUCUCAGAUUUAAUUAUUCUGAAACUAAGUUUAGGCUUUCCACAACUUUGUUUUGCAAGUUACAUUAAUUAUAUAAUCAAAAGAAAAUAUAUUUAUUGCGUAGCCACAAGUGCAGUCUUUAGAUCAAACAACACCUUUGUUUUGCAUUCAAACACAGAAGCUUGGUAUAUUGUAAUAUUUUAAGGAUGACUUGUUUCCAGUCCAGGCAUUAUUGCCUGAAUGACUGUCAUGGAUUGAGGCGAUCCAAGUGCAGAAGAAAGUCUUUAACUUCCCUUAAGUACAGUGGCAGUGGAUGUGGGUUGGAGAUGCAAUGAGCUUGAACCUGCAGUGACCAUCUUCACUGACCACACCAUCUGUGACAGAGGAUGCAUCUCUCCUGGUGUCCUGCAAGCAAGCAAUCAGAUUUUUUAGAUCACCAUCUUAUUUGCUUUCUUAAAACAUUGUUUUUUGCAUUUGCUAUAAAACAAGCCCCGAUUUCGACAAUCCCAGGCUUCCUCCCCACCGGAGAGGUGACAUUCAAUGUCCCACCUGUCAGUCUGGAUAGCCCUGACCACCACCCAACACACAAUAAUGUCGGGAAAGCUUAUUUUUUAAAAGGGGCUCUUUAAUAAUGACCAAUAACUUUUCAUUCUUAUGAUCUGCAGAAUAAUUUAGGCACAAAACAAAUUUCAAUGUUCAAAACUUGCAGACUUCACUACAUACAUCGUGGCCUCUCUAAACUAAGUUUGUGGCAUAUGAUCUUUCAAGAAGUAUCUUUAGAGAAAAAUCAGGCCUUCAGCUACAGUUUGUGAGAUAACACUAAACCGCACACAGUCAAAUGACUGCAAUGAUUCCUCAAAAGUAGCUGCCAUUGUGAAAAUCAGUGUGUAAAUUAAGAAAUCUAUAAGGCAUGUAAGAAGACAGUGAGUCAUAGCUUCUAAAAACCAGUUUAAGCCUCAAAAUGCAGACAGCCCACAUUGAUUUAAAAACCCUCCCACCGUGCCUUUUACGUGGUUGAUUUCUUAUCUGAAACAGUAAUAUUUCAGUGACUGCUGCUUAUAUCACAGAUUAAUACACUCUACAGAUCCCUGCUGGGAGAAUCAUUACCUCUGCCAGCAAAGACGUUUGGUGGAUUUUAUGUUUGGUUUUGUGAGGAAGCAAAGCUGUGUGUCUGUGUAAAAAUGUGUUAAACCUUAAUAAAAAGGUUAUUCUUAAAUACACUAGUGCCUUUGUAACAAUGCAGGGCGGUGAGCAUGGGAGUAGUUGGAGGCUGCAUGUCCCACUGGACACUGGAUUAAUUAAAAUAGUUGUUUAUUUUAUUUCUAAACUUCACUAUUUCAUUCAUUAUUUCAUGGUUUCUUUGCAUCCCAAGUUUAUUUCAUCUGUAGUACUUACCCAUCGGUAUAUGUUCCCUGUGUUUGCUUACAUUAAAAUACCAGUACUGAUGAGCAGAGCAUAUAAAUGCAGCACUUUUUAUAUUUGACAAUGUAUUUUGAAAGCACAAGACAAAUCACAAACUGUUUUAAUUUAGGUCUUUCUUUUUAUUUUGUUUUAUUUUUCAGUUGUUGAUUUUAUGGUGAUGUGAUGCUAAAUUACAUAUUUUUAAGAUUCAGUUGAAUUUGUCAGGGUCCCUGUGCCUACCCGGUCGGCUCAGCAUGGCUACAUAUGUUUUAUUUUCAUUUUUGUUCCUGCUCUCUCCCUUCCUCUCUUUCCCUCCUCCCUCGGCCUGGGCGGAGCUCACCUGUGGGCUCCUGCCCCUGACCCACGCACCUGUGGCUCAUCAUGAGAGUGUUCCAGCUCCUUUAUAAGAUGGCAGCUUUGUGUCUCUCGUCGCUGGACCGUUGCCGACCCUCAUUCCCUGGACCCACCCCUGUGUUUUCUGAAGUGAUCGAGUGUGCGUAAGUGUCAGGGGAAAAUUUCCCAAAUAGAAAGCUGCCAAAGUAAAACAGAGACACAGUGAGACAAUAUAAAAAAUCAUAUGUACAUGGGUGAACUCUCUAAAGAGUCAGAGAGUCACCCAGUACUCUUCUUUAUUGCAGGUUAUAUAGGCAUGUAGGUUACACAGCAGACGGAGGCAGUCUCCGCCUGUUCUCAGAAUAUAUUGCUUAACUGACAAAUGCAUAUCUUACUAAACAUUCUGUCCGUACUAUACUAAACGUCUGCUUAAGUGGUAUUUUCCGUUGCUCUUUGCACAGGAACUUGUCUUCACAGGCAUUUGAUAAGCAUAGGCAAGGUUUCAUGUUUUAUCAGGGUGAAUCGUCAUUCAGAGUUUACGCAGUUACAAGCAAAGCAUAUUUGAAUAAUAAACAAAAUCUUUUCACAUUUCCCUCCUGUUGUUUAACUUUCACACUAGUUAAAACACCAUUGGUUUAUUAUCUGUGCAUGAUUUCUUGCAGCGCAUUUUUAAUCAGCACGUCAUACAUUGGUGUAUCACAGCAUUUCAGUGUCAGGGGGAUUUAUCAUCAUCUUCGUCCAUGGGCAGUGUCAGGUAUGCCUGCACAUGAACUGCAACAACUUUAUUAAUCAUUGAUUGUGCACAUGGC